This 69-nucleotide transfer RNA is filed under the name Piprites chloris (white-winged piprites). Its description in RNAcentral is "tRNA-Met". It matches the Rfam family "tRNA". Rfam says of the family: Transfer RNA (tRNA) molecules are approximately 80 nucleotides in length. The record is from RNAcentral. Lineage: Eukaryota; Metazoa; Chordata; Aves; Passeriformes; Pipridae.
AGUAAGGUCAGCUAAUUAAGCUAUCGGGCCCAUACCCCGAAAAUGAAGGUUCAACUCCCUCCCCUACUA